RNAcentral lists this long non-coding RNA (31354 nucleotides) under Sorghum bicolor (sorghum). RNAcentral describes it as "long non-coding RNA (SBIC_LNC007689)". The stretch from base 12348 to 12575 matches the Rfam family "MIR6217 microRNA precursor family". Lineage: Eukaryota; Viridiplantae; Streptophyta; Magnoliopsida; Poales; Poaceae. The record is from RNAcentral.
UACUUUAGCCAACAACUUCCAAAGUGGAUGAUGCCUACAGAAAUUUCGUCCCUUGGAAGCUUGAGGAAUCUAUGGAUGGAAGACUUGCCUUAUUGCACGGAGCUACCUGAUGGCUUGUGGCAGCUCCCCAGCUUGGAGUUCCUAUAGAUUAAAAGCGCCCCAGGCAUCAAGCGUAUUGGGCCACACCAUCAUGAGCACCCAAGCCCUAUGGAAAACGUUGGUUCUGAUUUGGAAAUUGAGGUGGUUCGGUGUACUGGCCUCAAGAGGAUCAGCAAUCUGCCAAAUUUGCAGAACCUUAUAUGCCCAGAGUUGAUGGUACUAGAGGGUUUGCCUGCACUUCAGAGACUCGUGCUGGCGGAUUUCUCUCGCUGCUCGCUUCCAUAGCUAAAGGGAAAUCUGGCCCCGAGUGGGACAAGUUCAGCCAUAUCAAGCAUGUGAAGGCAUAUGCACAUGAUAACGACAACAACAUUAAAAGGAAGUGGUACGUCAAGUACACGAGAGAUCAUUUCAGCUUUAAGACAAACAUCAGCGUCUCUGCUGACGCCUCAGGUAAAUUAACACAGCUGCUGCUUUAUACGUGCCUACUGAGUAUGUACCUUUCUUGCUAUUGGAAUAUCUCGUCACUUGACUGGAUGUGCCGUUUAAUUUCAGGGGAUGAAACGGAGGAAGCGUUGUUGGACGAAGUGGAGGAAACUUCAAGGAAUGAAAUCGAAGAAGAACUUGUCAAUGUGGAACAACUGAGGGAGUAAUAGAGUAUGCUACUACAACUUGUUAUUAGUUGCUUGUUAAGCUGUGCCUAACACUGCCAAUUAUAUAACGCAUAUGGACGACCUUGCCUGCACAGGUGGAGUGUCCGUCUGUGACCUAUAUGGACAGAAGGAUCCUUGGAGUGGCCAUCACCUUGACUGAAGAAGUAUCAAUGCAGAAUUUGUGUUGCGAUUUUGUUCACUUCUGUUAGACUACAUUUCAUUUUGAGGCGGUCAGAUAUUCGACAUUGCAAAUAAAAAGAGACUGGAAUGUCAUGUGAACUUGUUCCUUAAUUUUUCUUCAAUGAUUUGUGUGCACGUUACUGUUCAAUUCUGAUGCAGUUUACCAGUUGUGAACUGAGAGGCCUAUAUGUAUGUAAGUUGACUAGUAACAGAACAAACUAAUGUUGCAGUACAGCUUCAUUAAGACGCUUGCUGAUUCACAGUGAUAUAUCUAUAACUCUUAUGAAGCAAAACUUCGCUAGCUAUUUCUCAUGGCAUGUAAGGCGUCCAUUUCAGUAGUCCACUAUCAUUUGUCACUAUUUACUUUUGACAUUCAAGUUGUCCAACAGUCCAUUAUCAUUUACAAUUAAAGUUCACUAGCAAAAGCAUUAUAAUAUUCAUGUCAGCGAGAUACAUCAUCCACUAUGGAUACAAUCUCCACGUUUAUGCUAAUAAAUCUAUAUAUAUUAUAUCAUAUUCUUAUAUUAUAAACACCAUAUAUAUGAUUCCUCCUUACUUAUGGCAACGCGUGGAGAAUCUUUUUGUAAAUGCAAGUUGCCAAUAACUAAAUGUAUAUAACAUGGUUCACCGAGUUUUUUGAUUUUGUCAAGACUCCAAGUGGGUGUUUGAGGCUGUGAACUGCUUCUAUAUAUCAACACGUAACAUAACCUAAUGCACAACAUGUUCACUCCUGAAUCAAUAAUGACUAGCAACUUAUUUAAUUAGUACAGGCUUGAAAUUUCUCUACGCAGUUGCCAAUAAUAUUUAUUUCUCAGGGCCGUCUCUAUAAUUUUGAGGGCUCUUGUGCAAGCAAAAGGGUAAGAGGCCAUCAAUUUUUUUUGAUAUGUCAAAUAUAUAAAAUAUAUGGUACAACAAAAAGAAUUAAUUUGCACAAUAUGUUUUAGUUUAUAAAAGGUAAUUAUAGUACAACAAAUAAAUAAAUAGAAUAGAAUUAGAAAUUUAGAACCCUAUCACGGAAUACUAAUAACAAAAUUGGUGAAGUCUCGAUCAGCCAUGCCCUUACUCUUCGUGCUCCCGUGUCUAGUAGUGACAUCGUGUGCGAACGUGUGGUGUUAGCGUGUCAUGGAGCCACAUUGUUGCAUUGGACGAUUGGGCAAUAGGACGAGAAGACAAUAAAGAGAGGAACAUUGAUUUGCUCAACUAAUCGAUCAAGCAAGAAUAUGAAGCAACACUAGCAAUAGGUGGAUGUGGAUGACGUGCUGAUUAAUGAAUUUCUUUUUAAAAUUAAUUAACGAAUUUCUAUAGUGUUUAUAUAAGCCUCCAAAAAAUUAGAUAAAUCUAUAUACUAAAUAUUACAUAUAUAUUUAUAGGCCCCUUAGCGCCAUGGCCCUCCGGCCGUCGCACCGGCUGCCCACCCCCAAGAGACGGCCCUGUUAUUUCUCUACGGUCGAAUCGUAGCUUGCAUAAGAGACCAGCCGGAGAAAUACAAUUUUUUGACUGUUUUCAUCUGAUACCUAAAUAAAAUAGGACGUAUAAGAAUUUCUGAGAGUGCUACUUUUGCUACUACUCCCUCCGUCCAUAAAAAAUAUAAUUCACACAAUUCAAGAAGUCAAACAAUAUUAACUUUGACUGAAAUAAUAUGAAAAUAUACUAACGCCAAUGAGACAAAAUAAGUAUCAUUAGAUUAGUUACAGAGUAUACUUUUAUAAUAAAUUUAUUUCAAGACAUAAAUGCUAAUAUUAUUUACUAUAAACUUGCUCAAAGUUAGACUCGUUUGACUGAUAUGUUUCUCAUAAUUGCAUUUUUUCUGGACAGAGGUAGUGCAUGCUAGCCAUCUAGGAGCGCGGGAGAAGCCUCCAUAGCGGCGGCCAGCUCGGCUCUCGCUUAGGCGACGAAGGGAGGGGCCCGCGCGCCUAGCUCGGUGGCUAGGUCUGCGCUCGCCCAGGUGGUGACGGGAGCGGGCCCACAUGCCCCCGCGGUGGGCGUUCCACUGGCAGGAGCUUACCAGGCAGAGUGGGAGCCGGGGCUGAGGCCGGGCCCGAAGGUGUUCCUCCAUUGUGCGAUGGUCCACUCGUCGCUGCUUCCUCUGGCCUCAGAUUCGAUGGAACAGAUUUGGGGAUCUAGCGACGACCCGGUCAGGCCCCUGCGCACGCACGCCUGCUAGGCCAGGCCAGGGCUGAGUGGUCAGUAUGUCGCGCCUAGAAGACAGAUCUAGUGGAUCCAAGGCAGAUACAAUGAGGCCCUGUGCACCUAUGCAUGCACGCCAACUAGACCAGGCGGCAAUUGGGUGGUCGUGGCUACAGUCGGAAGGCGAUGGGCCACAUGACGGACAAGCCUUCCAUCUUCUCUGAGGAGCAAUUCAGGGCUGGGGCAGCGGCGGCUGACAGCUAGGCGUGCUAGCCUACGGCGGCAGCUGGGUAGACAACUUCUUUGUCGUCCUCGUCGCCAUCGUCUCGGUCAACCUCCUCAGUGGUGGUCGGCAAUUGUUGUUGUUGUUGUUGUGAUGGUGGUGGUGUUUUCUUCUCUUUGUUAAGGUGUGAAUCAAAGUGUUCUUGUAUCUUUUUGGCUACAUAUAUCCUUCAUGGUUAUAAAGGCUGGAUUAUUAAUUAAAAUUCACUAUCUAGAAAAACAUGUGAGCCAUCCAAGGUUAUCAAUUAUCCAUCACGUAGACAUGACCUAAUCUUGCUUGGGCCGAGCGGAGCAUCCGCAAGAUCCAUCCACCUUGGCGCGACAUACUUGCUCAAAGCAAAAAAAGCUAGCCACGACAUACUAUGCCGAGUCCACUAAAAAAAUAAAAAAAAAACUUGUUGAUGAGAGAGGCGUGAGAUAUGUUAAGGUCAAUCUUAAUGAUGGUCUUAUGACCUAGUUUUCAACAAACAAGCAAAAUGCAUGCAGUGGCCACAUAUUGGUGCGCUGGGUGCUGAUGGUGCGGGGGGCGGACGCAUUGGAAACCCACCAGUUAGAAAAAUGUUUAAAAAGAGUGACCAAGUUCGAGCCUUUACAUAUGAACAACUCGAGCGCCAUGAUUGGUUGCAGUUGGAUACAAACAGUAAAGCCAUCGCGGCAAAGCCAUCGAUGUAUACAGAACGUAGAAGAGAUCUGCUUUCACACAACGGUGAAUAAUAUAUACAGAAGGUAGCAACAUCUAUAUGGUGUGGCGGUUAAAACUCCUCCAUGAUAUAUAUAUAUAUAUAUAUAUAUAUAUAUAUAUAUAUAUAUAUAUAUAUAGUAUACUCUGUAGCUAGCUACCGAAUAAGAUAUUCUGUUGUAGCCAGGUCAUCCCACGCACCCGCUCACCCUUGGCGCGACCAGGCAGCGGACGAGCGCGAGAUUCCUGGUCCUCUUGGCUCCUGGCUCCCGGCUCCCAAUCGGCACAGCUCGCCUAGUUACGGGAGCCGCGCAUCACACUGCCGUUAAAUCAGGCUGAGUAAUAGAUCAGCGACAUGCAUGCAUCCUUGAUUAGCGAUGGAUUUUUUCCCCCUGCUUAUCCACAGUUAUAUAUGUCCAUCGGGCCGUGCCGGCCCAACAUGACACCGGGCCACAUCGGGCCACCGUGCCGCACGGGCCGUGCCUGUGGCGUGCCCGUGCCGCGCCUACGGCCCAAGGCACGGUCCGUGGGCCGUUUUGUCGGGCCGUGCCACCCGGUGAGCCCGGCAAAUUUCACCGGACCGUGCUGGCCCACAACCCGAAGAUCAUCUAGUGACUCAGUGAAUCAGUCAUCAGUGAUUAACUAAGACACACAGAAAUACAGGAUUUACAGAUUCACAGAUCAUGAGAUCAAAGAACAAGACAGAUUAAAGAGAUAAUAUAAUUAACUUUACUGAGCUGUUUUGUGCAAUGCUGCCUCAUUAAAAACCUUGCUAGGUAAAACUCACCCUUGUGAGAAACUCUAGCAAGGGAAAAAGAGUGCAGCCAGCUCCAAAAUGUUAAGUGUUUAGGACUUUAGGCUAUCCUAUUACAAAAUGUCAACUGCCAAGUGCCAAACUGCCAACUCAAUGUUUCAAAACUGCAUGUCUAAUUGUCUAUCACUCUAUCCUAUUAGGCUAUUACAAGAUCAACUCAAUGUGACCAACAAUAUGACAAUAUCAGACUUGAAGAGUUGAAGUUGCAGUGCAGACACCAGACAGCCAGACUACAAGAGCAGACCAAAAGCUCCUGCUGUCCUGCACAAUGUAAACAGGUUCUUGUCAAAUUCUUACUCAUUCUAAUAAUCUAAAUAGCUAAUUGCAUCAAUCUAAAGUUCUAAAGUUCUUACUCAUAUUCAUAUCAAUGUCAUCUUCUAAACAAAUGUACUCCCGCUGCCGCUGCCAUUUCCGCUGCCGCUGCCGCUUCCUUGAGCUUGACCUUGUUCGUCCAGGUAGAGGUUCUUGAAUGCAUCUACCAGGUCAAUGUCUUCAGGUGUGUGCUGCUCCCUUGUUGCUCCUAGCUCCCAGUCCUUGAUGCAUGUGAGCAUCUCCACAUGCUCAGGCAACAAGCGACGGCGCCGGUCCUCUAGUAUCCUGGAGGUACAACUGAAACACGACUCGGAAGAAACAGUAGACACAGGGACAGACAUGAUAUCUCGAGCCAUAAUAGAUAGGAUUCGAUAGGUAAGCUUGUGAUCACGCCACCAAAGGAGUAUGUCAAAGGAUUCCUCAUAGCAUGUGACAGGGUCACUGUCCAGGUAAGCACUGAGCUCACUAACAGCAGAUGGAGUAGAAGAGGAUGUGGGGGAACAGGCAGGGGAGUCACCAGGACCUCCAAAGAUCCUUCCCCAUGCCUGUUUUCUCUUACCAGCAUGAGCUGAAGGGACUGCAAGCCUCUAAGACCUAGCUGCACCAAAUUUAUCUUCAUACUUGCCAAACAUUUUAAACAUUUCAUCUUUGACUUCACCAUAGUAUAAACUAUAACUACAUCCAGUAGCCUUACCAAGCAGAUCAAGUACAUUAUAGAAACCUUUCAUCUUAGCUCUAGGAUCAAGAAUGAAUGCAUAUGAAUAAAUGAGUGGGAUUUUCUCCCAAUAUUUAAGGAAUUUCAGUUUCAUAGGAGUAGAAAUGUUUCUGAAGCCUGUAUCUUUUUCAGCUUCCUGCAAAUGCUCAGCAAUGGCAAGCAAAUGGUGCAACACAAGUAGAGCAGUGGGAUAAUAAACACCAGACAAAACAACAGUACAAUCAUAAAAUAGUUCCAGGAAUGCCAUGAUUUGUUCAGCAUUAUGCCAAUGUUGUGGAGUCAACAAAGUAGAACCAUAAUUAGAGUUAAUGAACACAUUGAAUACUUCCUUGUAUGGCAGCAAGUGCUUGAGCAUCAAGUAAGUAGAAUUCCAUCUAACAUCCAUAUCUAAGCCAAACUUUCUAGGUCUAAGACCCUGAGCAUUGCAGUAAUUCUUAAACAGAGCAAUUCUUUGAUUAGAGGAAUUUAAAAAGUUGAUUGCAGUUCUGAAAUCUUCAAGAUAAGUUUUCACUCUCUUGAAGCCAGUUUUGACAAUCAAGUUAAUGAUGUGGCAUGCACAGCGUUGAUGCACAAGCAAGUAUUUCACUUUGUUUGGAUUCUCUCUUGUAGGUGCAGGGUAAGAACCCAAAUAACCAAAGAAAACAGGUUGCAGAAUCUCAUGAGCUCUAGUAUUAGCAGAAGCAUUGUCAAGAGACACAGAAAAAAUCUUAUCCAUCAAACCAAACUCAUCAACAACACUAGCAAUCCUAUCAGCAAUAUUUUCACCAGAAUGUUUAACCUCAAUCAACCUUAAACCAACAACUUUCUUUUGUAACUCCCAGUCUUUACUAACAUAAUGAGCAACAACAGAAAUGUAAUCCUCCUUGGCAUUACCAGACCAAAUAUCAGAUGUCAACGAAACAGAGGAUGCAGCAGGCAACACAUUUUUCAUAAGCAAAGUACGCUCUUCAUCAAACAGUUUAGACAUAUCUCUAGUGGUGGUCUGCCUAGAAAUCUUCUCAAAUAGAGGAUUAUGAGCACGUCUUAUAUAAUCCUCCCAAGCCUGUGUCUCACCUAUCCCUAAAGGAAGGUCUAACCUAGCAAUCAAACGACACAACUCAAUGCGAGCAACCAUAGGAUCAUAAACCCAGUUUUUCAAACCAUCAGGAUUUAGAGCAAGUUUAGACUGGGUCAUUUUAGCAUGAUUCUGUUUUUUCAUACAGGAUUUCAUGUGCCAUCUCAAAUGACCAGUACCAUUACCAGAUCUAGCAGUGUACUUCGAACGACAAUGCUUACAGAUUGCAGCAAUUCUAAUCUUAUUCGUCGCAUCUUUAACCUCAUGAAAGUACGUCCAAACAACAGAAGUUUUCUUACCAGAGGUACCUCCAGUGUUAGCGGGGCCGGCAUCAUCGUCGUCCUCGCCGUCGAGGUCGAUCGGCUGGUUGCCAUUGAUGCCAUCCAAGCCAUCACCGAGGUCGAUGCCGAACAACGCAGCUGCGUCCUCACGCAAGUCGUCGUCGUUCUCGUUCUCCAUCUCCCGCUCAUCGUCCGAGUUUAGUGCUAGGUCCUCGCCGUCGACAAGGGGGCGGCGCUGAUCCGCACCGGACCCCUGCGUUGCGAGGCCAGCAAUUUCACCGGACGACCGAGACUGAGAAUGAGACUGAGACUGAGAGAGCCCUCCAACUCCAGCACCGCCCCUCGACGGGCGCUUCGGUGGCCUGGCCAUGUUCGCCUCCACUCCAGAGGAGGAAGAGGCGGCGUCAGGCACCACCAACCUGCCAAGUGCCAAGAAAUGGCGAAGAAGAGUCAGAGUCAGAGAACACCGAGAGAAAUGAAGUUAGGGUUAGGGUUACCUGUGCGACCGGAGCCCGGUGCCGGAGCCAGAGCCGGAGAAGAAGGAUCAGAGAAGUAGAGAACACAACAAACGAGAAACGACGGCACGCGGUGGCGGACGUGGAAGAUGCACACAAACUCACAUGCUUCACCGGAAAAUAGAGAGGAGUGGAGGGGAAAGGAGGGAGGGACCGAGGGAGGAGAGCUGGAGCCGGAGAAGAAGGAUCAGAGGAGGGCGGGUGGCGGCGAGCCGACGAGGCGACGCCGCGACGAGGUUGAACCGUGGAGGAGCAGCGGCCGGCGACGGAUCGAGGAGACGAGGAGACGAGCGAUUGCAGCGCGGGCGCGCGGCGCAGUGGAUGUGGAAUGAGGGAGUUAGGGUUAGGGUUACGGGGCGUCCGCGCGCGCCCCUUAUAUAGUGGGCAGUGGCCGGGCCGGCUUGUCGGACCCCUAUUUUAGCCGGGCCGUGCCGGCACCGUGCCACGGGCCGGGGUGGCGGCCCAGGCACGACCUGGUGCGUCGGGCCGUGCCGGCCCUGGCCCGUCGGCCACCGGGCCGGGCCGGGCGGGCUGCGGGCCGGGCCACCGGGCUCCGGGCUGCAUGGCCACAUAUAUCCACAGUCAACGAAACGACCACGUGCAUGCAUCAUUGGCGUUCACGUGGGCCUAUAUGCAUAGGUGACCACACCUUCUGAAAUUACUAAAAUAUUUUAAUGUUUAUGAGAAUACAUACCUAUUCAUAGAAUCUUUAAUGAGUUCUCGUAUUUGUUUCAAAGAUUACGAGAAUACAACUUCUGAAAUUACGAGAAUUUUGUAUUGUAUCCCAAGCAGCAGUUUAUAUUACCAGAACAACAUAGGCUAUUAGGAUGUAAAAUUACCACAAUUUGGCAUCUUGAUGUUCCAACUCACUUGGUAGUAAAAUGACGAGAAUAAUUUACAAUGAAGUAAUUACGAUAAUUUUAGUGCCUAGAGACAGGGAGAUACCACAAUUAGGUGUCGAAAAUUUUCUAAGGAUCUAGUUACUAUAACGGGGAGGUCAAAUUACAAUAAACCAGAAAUACAUUAUUUAUGAUAUUUUUGUUGGAGAAUUGCCACAACUUCCUAUCAAGUCGCUAUCAGAAAACACUUACAUUUCUUAACAAAUGAGAAAGAAACCACUUACAACAUUUCAGAAUAUUGGAAAUGAUAAUUAGGCUGUGGUGUUACAUAAAAAUUGGCAUGAAAGUGAUUAAAUAUUUCUCAAAAAAAAAACUUGUAAAAAAUAGAAACAGUACAUCGAUCUAUUUUUCCAUCAGAAUGAUACUAGGUCUCCACUCAUUUUGAACGAUUCAAGGACGAUCAAGAUCAUGCCAUAUGAGCCUCGGGUCCAGCUCGAAGCUGCUUAGUCAGUGUUCAGUGGAUGCAAAAGCAUGUAGAAGUGCAGCUCUAACCCAAACUUGGGCCCCUUCUCGUGCAUCUGUGGUGAAUGAACAUUAGAACGAAUAACGCAUCAGUGAUUUGCAUUAUAAGUUAACCAUCAUACAUGAUAAGUCAUUAACAAAAACAAAUGAAUUUACUGUAACCUUGGCCUAAGUAACCACCGGAAUUAAUUCCAUUAGUUCAGUUCUGGUUUUCUAGAUCAAAUUGAUUUCAAUCUGCAAUGGUGAAAAGUAGAAAACAUCACUGAGAAUGGGGGUCUCACUGGCAAAAUAAGAAAGCAAGCUUGUUUCAAACUGCAGGAGCAAGAAAAAUUGAUAGUUGAGCCAUGUACAUGCAGGAUCGUCAAUUGGUUGACACAGUUACCAUAACACAGAAUUGGUUACUAGAAGAUUGAUAUGUUAUUUACAAUAAUUUUGUACCAUAACAGUAUCUAAGUUACAAUAUAUAAGUAAAAAAUAUAGUAAUGCCACAAUGGUUUACAACAAAUUUUGAAUAUGAUAUGAUGCUUGUAACAUCAAAAUCUAUGUUACGAUGUAAGUCAAAAUUUUGGUCACCAGAUAUUUAAAAUGGACACACAAAACCUGCAAGUGCCUAAAAUUGAUGGCAUGAAACAGAAUUACCAUAAGACAGUGAUGCUUAUCGAAAGGAUUGGUCUACACGAAUACACAGAAAACAAGGAAGACUAGUGUAUAUGAUUUAGGCCUUGUUUAGAUACAUCCAAAAACCCAAAACUUUACAAGAUUCUCCAUCACAUCGAAUCUUGCGACACAUGCAUGGAACAUUAAAUGUAGAUAAAAAAGAUAACUAAUUACACAGUUUACUUGUAAAUCACGAGACGAAUCUUUUAAGCCUAGUUGCUCCAUGAUUGGAUAAUAUUUGUCAAAAUAAAAACGAAAGUGCUACAGUAUCAAAAUCUAAAAAAAUUUUGAAUCUAAACAAGGCCUUACACAGGAAACCAGUAUCACAAAAUCGCUGAAACCAUGAACACUGACUGAAGUAACAGCUACCUCAAUCCAAAUGAGAACCAAAAUUAUGGAAUCUGGUAAGGUUGAUUUCAGAAAACAUGAGUAGAACAUGAACUCUAGCAUAAAUUGUGGUAAUUCACACUCAUAAUUAACAUGUCGAGCUAUUCAACAUAUCGUAACCAUUUCUUGCUAAUUUAGCAUAAUAUGCAGUAGUUGUUAAUUCUUAAUUAUCACUUCAAGUCACCAGACUUAUCGUAACUAUUGAAUCUUAAUUAUCAUGCUGAACCAUCCAACUUAUCAUAACAAAAGCCAUUUUGCAGUAAUUGGUUACGAUAAUACAUUUAGGUGAUCAAGAUAUGAUAAUACAUUUACCAGAAUAGCAUUAUCUACUUACUACAAAAAAAAAAACAAAUAUAGCACAAUGGAGUCAUCGGGUUACUGAUAUUGAUAUGAGGAAGCAAAGAGGGACCAACAAAUAAGAAAUCAUGCUUGUUUGAAAAUGCAGCCACAUUAAACAUUAGGAAUAGUUGCUUAUUUCUUGGCUAACAGAAUGGGGUCGAGAUGCAUAUGGUCUAGCAAGCAGUUGUUGUUCGCGCAAGCAAGGAGCCUCCGUUAGCAAGCAGUUGUUGUUCGCUUGUGUCGGGUCCCCCGUCCACGCGAGGCAAGGGCGCAAGGCACCGCUGCUGGAGGACGCAUCGCCGCCGAGGGGCCAGUCCGCUCGGUGCGGGACGCAGCGACGCGGCAAUGCCGAGGGGCGGAUGGAGGCACCACAGCCAUGCCCUGCCGCCUGCGGAGAAGAAGGAGCACCGCCGGCAGCCACCAUCUGCCGAUCCGCAUCAGCUGCGACCGUCUGACACACACCGCAUCAGCCGUUGUGGAAGGCCGCCGCCACCACCACCAUGGGAGGCCGGAUCUGCUAGGGGAAGAGGUGGUUCCGCCGAUCUAAAUCUCAGAAGAGUUGGGGCAGGUGAUGCAGAGGCCAUUGCCGCCGGUGUGGUCGGGGUUGUGGAGGGCCCGUCCGAGCCCGGCGUCGCCUUCACGGGGGAGCAGUGCCAGAUAUCUAGCUUCUACGGUUUUCUCGGAAUAGACAAGCGAUGGAUGGCUCGGGAAUGUCCAUAUGUGAAACCGAGCCGGGAGGGUGUGGCGAGUCUAUUUUACGCACAUUAAUUAAUCUUAAUAACAGGGCGAGAGCGGAGCUAAUGGGUUUAGAACCAAACCCGCACCAGUCAUCCCAUCCGAAUAAAACAACCAAUGGGAAAACCCUAUUUUCAAUGGCCUUUUGUCCCGAUCAAACGCCUCUUCGUCGCCGCCGUCCUCGACCUCCACGGACCUCGUGCCUCCUAACUCCUAUGGCUCCGAGAUUCCGAGAUCACCGAAGUGGGAACGUGCGCUACGCACCUGGGAGAUGGAUUUAGCAUUCAGCGUCGACGCUGUGACCGUGACUUACAUUUCCGAUCGAGGUCCUGCACCUCUGUUGCAACUCCGCCAGGUCCGACACACGCUGGAAUCUUCUCGUCGCCGCUCUCCUCCUCAUCCAGGUAGCCCCUACAUCCGCUUCCCUAUCGUGCAUGCAUGCUGCUUUUGUUGCGCCAGCCCUAACCAGGUCCAGAUCGAUCCGUGUGUCUACAAGGACUGCUUGCCUGCUUACUUCCCAUCAAACACGGCACAAGCCUAGCACAUGUGGAUUCAAAGAUGCUUCUAUUUCCUUUUCCUUCGUCUCCCUCCUACCCAAAUCUGAUACAUGCCUUGGUUUCAUUUUUACAGAUUGAAGUACCACGUACAUGAUACUCUAAUCCUUAUUUUUCAGAUCUAUCGAAGUCGGAGUAUUACUUGAUACUUGUUCAAUAUUUAAUAUUACUUCAUGCAGAUUUGUUUUUCCUAUAGGUUGGAGUACUUGUCACUUAUACUGGAUUGGCGACUUCUGGAAGCAUCCACCUCUACAAUCUAGAUCUAUUAAUCACGAGCAUAUAUGUGGAGACGACGUUGCAGGCAGAUGGCCAAUGUUGCCUGUUCUCUGAUGCACCGCCGCUGCCCCCCUAUUGUCUAGUUGAUGGUUAAGAUAGCAGCUGAAUGCGUCGUGAACUUGCCAAAUAGUAUGGCUACAUAGAGUAUGAAGUACGUAUACAUACCUACGGUAUAAAAUACGUGUACAUACUUAAUUAUAAACUAUGUGUACGUACUUACAGUAUAAAAUAUGUGUGCUCUGCUUUCUAUAUAUAUAGGAUGUGUUUUUUCUACGCGCGCGUGUAGUUACUCUUAUCUAUAUAUCUCUAGAUUUAAGGUGUAUAUAUAGCUGGCUACAAAAUAACAUAUUCUGUAGCCACUUUAAGAUACGAUAAUAACUAUGUUAAUUUAUGAGAUUAUAGUAACUUCUUACUAAGUGCUUUGCUAUAAUGUUACGGUAAAUAUCUCCAUGUGUUAUAGUAACCCAACUAUAGUAAAUAUGUAUACAUAUUAUCGUAAAUUAGUAUAUAAAAUCAACGUAAAUAGAAGUGGCUACAGAAUAACUUAUUUUGUAGCUAACUACUGAAUAUAUAUACUCUCCAUAUAUAUAUAUAUAAUAAGUUAUUCUGUAGCCACCUCUAUUUACGAUAAUUUUAUAUAUUAAUUUACGAUAAUUAAACAUAUUAAUUCUAUGUUGAACCCACGCCUCUCCCCCCGGCCAUGUCACCCGGAAUUCCUACAUUCAGCCACGUCGCCCUUAAUUCCCAUCCACAAAAGCCUCUAUCCCCAAUCGUCAUUGGAAAAAGAAAAUGAUCCCUCCGUCCUCGCUCCCGUCGCCUCCCCAACCCCGCACCUUCGCUGCCGCCACUCGCGCCUCUGCCCUGACCCCGCGGCUGCCCGCGCCUCCCUCUUCUUCUCCCUCUCCUCCUGACAUGAUGGGGCACCAGCUAUGCCCAGCGCGGCCACCUCGACGCCCUGCGUGUGGCCGGAGCGGCGGCACCCCUCGGUGUGCAGCGCAGCGGCCCAGACGGCCCGCGACGGUGGCUGCCUCCCGCCAUGGCGCAGCAGCAGGGGCGCGGGUGACCCCCUGCCCCCUGGCUCGGCGUGCCCUGCUCGCAGUACAUAUUUACGAUAGUUUGGUUACUAUAACACAUGGGGAUAUUUACCGUAAUGUUAUAGUAAACCACUUAGUAAAGAGUUACUAUAAUCUUAUAAAUUAAUAUAGUAAUUAUCGUAACUCAAAGUGGCUACAAAAUAAGUUAUUUUGUAGCCAGCUACAGAGUAUUAGUUCUAUAUAUAUUACUACACGCAUGUGUAGUUACUCUCAUCUUCAAUAAACCACAUUGUGUAUGUGUUCAUACUUAUUUAUCGGUUUUAGUAUGUAUAUAUACUCAUAUUAAGAUAUUCUAGAUCUUACCACACGAAAAUUUUUCAAAGAAAUUCAUAUUUUUAAUAUAUUACUAAAAUACCACUACUAUAUUAUAUAUAAUAAGUAUAACCGCUCGCCUCCCAAACCAGAUCAUGCAUGCGACCAGCGGUCCAGCACAACAUGGACAAAAAGUAGGACUAGCCAAUCAAGCUAGGCACCGUCGUUGUAAAGAUGUCAUCCACAAACCUAUUUAAUAAGCGCAGACAUGAAAAAUACCCUCUAAUUAAUCACUCUUUGGUAAGCGUAAUGAUGUCCUAAACGACUUCUAUUUUGUAUAUGGAGGGAGUAUAUAGGCUUACAUCCACCUCGAACAAACAUGAAACGUAAUUCUGAGAACAGAUGUGACGCAUCCCAAAUUAAAUGUAAAAGAUCAAUGCUUUAUUUCUUCCUCCCAGGCAACUGACUUUAUUUACCUUCUCUUUGUGACGGCCUUGCGUAUUUGCGUUUUUCAGGGCAUCUGUUCAUUUAGGGAAGUAGUAUAAGAAGAGCAUGACGAGCUUGUAUAUCUUCCUUGCUUCUAGCUCCAACAUGCUUUGUCGUACGUUUCCAAUUCUCAAUGGCCAAAAGCAAAAGCCCUCAGAUCAGGAUGGAUCCCUGCAAAGCCCCUAGAUCAACAUGAAGGUGAAUGUAGGUAUAUUGUACCCAAAUUAUUCGCAAAUGCCCUUAAACAGGGAACACAACAUUUUUUAUGCAUUUAUCUUGUGGGGGUGCCCUGUUUCCCAUCUCCAAGAUUUGUACAACGUGACCAUGGUUACCCCAUGUAAUACCCGAUUUUAAGGAUAAAACCAGAUAUGCACCAUAUGUGAGUCUUAGAAGUCAAAUCUCACAUAUAGCUACAAAUAAGGGGUAAUAUCAAAAGACAAUACAUAAAUAUAUAACGUAUUUAGUAUAAAAGAGAUAACCUUUGAUAACAAACAGCGGAUAGACAACUCCAAACUUCGGGUAUUAACUCCUCUCCACAGGAUCAAACUGAUUGGUUGAUCACAAGCCUAAAGCAACUCCUGAAGUGUGGGGGAAAUUGCAAGAGUGAGCACAUAUCGUACUCAACAAGUAUAACCAGGGGUUCAUGAGGCUCAAAUAGCUGACACUGGUUUGACUGCAUUUAGCUUUUAUAUGUAGAUAGCAUAUUUAUAUUUAGAUAGCAAUUGUCAAGCAUAAUUAAAUCCCAUAACCACAUGAUCAAAUGUAUACAAGAAUUAUGAAUAACACAAAUAAACAACAUAAUAAACAAUCAUUUGUCAUCAUUUAUCAUUUUUAUCAGUGUCCAUCUAUUCCGUCAGUUUUCCGGGCCGCCCGUAUCCGUGGGCACGGCUAGUAUACCAGAUUUAACACUCUGCAAAGGUUGUCAUCUUUACCCAUGAGUCAUGAUUUACCCUUUCGCCCGAGGUAGCUAGUCUCUUAACCCCCUUUCUAGAGAGGCCGGUAGGGAUCACUAUGAAGUCUUUCAAAGGUUCGUCUAACAAGUUAGGGCCGCUUGGUUUCAUUACUCAGUCUAUGUGAUUCACCCGCAGGAAUCCACGGUCUGCUAUUCCCCAAUUGCGCCACAACGGGUAACCGCUAACGAGCUAGAAAAGUUACUCAUACUUGACUAAAGCCAGAGCCAUAUAGCCCUCAUGGUUGUACGAGUUGUCCCAGCUUUUGCCAAGGGAUAAGUCCUUAUGGAGGGUCAAGAUCAAUCCAGCAAAAGCCAGAGUUCUUUCGUUCAAAUUGCUAGAAAGCUUAUUUUAUUGUUUAUUGUAUAUCCAAACAUUCAUGUUACAAGAUCAUGGAUUAUAUUCAAGCACUAGCAAGAACUACCCAAAUGCAUAUCCAAAAUAGGUAACAAGGAAUUCAGGAUAACAAACAUCUAUGAUUUUGCUACGGUCAUCAAGGUGGACACAUGCAUAUGAUAUAUGUAUAAAAAGUGUGUAGGUAACAAGGAUGAUCCCGAGUUAUACUUGCCUUGAUCAAAGCUCUCCUGAGCCUGCUGCUGGUCGUCAAAAGCUUGAUCUUGAUCACCAACGUAUCGCUCACCGUCUAUUCCUAAACAUCAAUCAACAACAGGCAAUCCAAUGUAGACAGUCAUACACAAAGCAAACAAGCUAUAAUUAGAACAUUACACCAACAGUGAGAAAUCAAAGAUAAAAGUUUAUAAAAAAUAUUCUACGCAGCGCUACGAUCACACAAACAUAAAGUUCACGAAAAUCGGAAUUAAAACAUGGAAGAUAUGAAUUUCCUAAGAUUUUAUAUAGAAAAGUAAUUAAUUAAUUAAGGCCACGAAAUUAAAAAGUUUACUAACAUGUAGAGCUCAUUAUUACGAAUCCAACGCAAUUUGAAUGGACCAAAUCGGAUUUAAAAUGAGCACUUUAUGAUCAAAAUAAUUCUAGUGGCAAAACUGUAAUUUCAGAAAAUGUAUUUUCUUUUAAACCGACGAAAAUACGCUUUUAAAAUUGAGAAAACGUAUUCAGCGAAAUAUGCGUCGGACUGCGGGUUGUUUCUUAAAAAGGGCAGGGGGUCUUUAGAAAAAUUGCCGGCCGAAGGGGUAUCGGCCAUUCUGGUCCACUAGAUCUCGAAUGAACGGUCAGGAUUAAAACAGGGGGACGAGAAGGGAACUGCCGGCCGGAACAGGGCCAGCGCGGUGGCGCCAUGGCCUGAGUUGGGCACACUUCGUCGGAGUUCAUGGUUAAAGCGAUUCUGAGCAUGAUUUGGAAAACCGAUUGCACGGGAAGCAAGAGGAGGGUACCGAGAACUCACCCAGGGCACAAUCGUGAGCGAAGAAGGCUUGAAACGACUCGGUGACGAUGGAUGGCGGACCGGGUGCUCUGCAGAAAGUUCGGCAUGGUUAACACUCGACAAGAAGCCAGAAGAGAGUACGGGGAAAGGCUCGAGAGCUUCGUUACUCGGUCACGGUGCUCGACAAGCGAUCAAAUUCGGUGGGACGGCAGCGAAACUCGAAACCCACGAUGGCGGCUUCGCUCUGCGCCUGCAGAGAUCCAAAUCGGGGGGGGGGGGGGGGGUUCUAGCGGCUAGGUGGCUCGAGGUGCUGCACGGAUGGCAAAGAGGAGUCGCGGAAGAGGGCGCGGAGUUUUAUAGCAACUCAGGACAUACAUUGGCAAGGAAUCCCGAGAAGUUCGGGAUUUUGGGAAACCUCGGUGCUGUGAGUCCUAUUCGGCCACGAUGAGGAAGAAAGGGAGGGGAGGAAGAGAUCUGAUGCGUGGGGUCAACCGGUCAGUGACUGAUGGCGUGGGGUCCGCGUGUCAACCAAGGGAAAGAGAGGGGAGGUGGGAGGGGGCGCACCGGGCCGGCUGCUGGCCAGCUUGGGCCGAGGGGGAAGAAGUCAGGCCUUCGGGCCAGAAAACAGAUGGAGAACUUUUCCUUUUCCUUUUGUUUUGUUUUCUUUUUAUUUCUUUUUAUUUCAAAGUCUUUUCAAAGCAGUUUCAAAUCAUUUUGAUAAUAUUUUGAAUUUGCUCAACUCACACAGUACAAAAGUAUAAAUGCUCCAGCAUGUAUGCACAUCCAUGUUGCUAGAUUCUAUGAUAAGUUUUAUUUUAAUGAAAAAUAUUAUUUCCCUAUAUUCAUGAGCACAAAAAAUACAAAAUUAAAUUAAUUUUCAUCUAUUUAAAAAGGAGCAAAAUUUUAGGGUGCUACACCCCACCUAGCUGUGAUAGAAAAACCAAUUCGACAUUGACUCGUUCGUACAUUCUAUAUAGGGAAUUAAUCUCUUAACAAUCACUUUCAUCAACCCCAAAAAACCGCUAGCGUAAAUUACAUUUACAGUAUCGGUUUACUUAAGACAACCACCGGUGUAAAUAGUGAAUUUAAAUUGGCGAUUUCCAUUAAACAACCACCAACGUAAAAUACACUAUUUACGCUAGCGGUUUUCUUAACAAAACCGUCAGUGUGAACCCAUUUGCACUAGCAGUUCUUGAUCCAGGCCCACAUAUUUUACACUAGGGGCGCUUGCUUCUUAUGAACCGCCAGCGAAAAAAUCGCUGUCAUCAAGAAAUUUAGAUUAUGUUCUAGUGCUUACCUCAAACUCGAAUGAAAACAUGAAAAAAAUUAAGAACAAAUGGACGAAAAAUAAAAAGCUUUACCUUGUCAAACAAAGGAAUACGUGCUCCAUGCAUGUUCGCAACUGACGCAUCACGCAUCCAAAGAUGCACGCCAUCGAAUUCCUCCCUGCUGGCAACUGGCUUUAAUUACCUUCUUUAGUUAAUCCGUGCAACGGCUCUGAUUAACCUCAGGGCAUCUUUAGUUAGAUCAAACGUUCAUGUAGCAGGGUGUGGCAACAUUUUGCUCUGCAAUGCACUGGAACAACAAGCAUGGGUAUGGAAAAACAUGACCAGCUCUGCAAUCACACAUGACCAGCUUGUAUAUAUUCCUUGCUUGUCGCUGCAACAUAUGCUUUGCCGUUUCAAAUUCCAGUGGCCAAAAGCAAAAGCCCUCCAGAAGAGAUCAGGAUGGAUCCCUUCGCAGCCUAAAGCAAGCAACAUGAUUCCAACGGCUUGGCCUAAAGCAAAAGCAGUGAGGAUACAUUCCUUCCUGGGCACAGCAAGCACGCCCUGCCCCCUGUGACCUUAUUUGGAUGCACAUAUAUUCAUCUUAAUGCAUAUAUAUUGCAUUGGAUCAGAUCGGAGUGAAAUUAAACUAAGCUCCAUUCUAAUCCACUCAAACAAAUGUAGAUUGUAGUGGAUACACAUGCAUCCAAACUAGGCCUGACCCGUCUGAAAAUGUAUCCCUUGCUUUCCGAUAGAUACAAUACAUGCAGCCUCUAUGUCUAUAAAGCAGGCCUCCUAUAGCUGCUUCUUCACGUCUGAUACCCCCACCAUAUCGCUUUCAUUCAUUCAUGUCACACACAACACUGCUGCGCUGAUCCAUCCAUCGAUCUGACAUCGGAGCCAACUGCCAAGCUUGCAAACUCGUCGAUCGUCUCGCUCUGUGUGACUGUAAGCACUCAACAUUAGUUCAGCAUGUACUUCUCCUCGAUCUGUUUCUUCUCCUUUUAUUUCAAAUAAUGAAAUAGAAUUGCCCUCCAUAGAGGUCGCAUUGAACCAACCACUGAUGAAUAUUAAGGUAUUUUUGUUUUAUUUGCAGAGUUGCAUUGAUUGCUUCCAUUCGUUGUGAUUCUAACCCAACAUCAAUUUUCUCAUAUUUGUUCAACGAACCACAAACAUACCAGUCAUCGUGGUUUCCAGUAAUACAAAAAUUGUAUGUUGCCCCCUUCCUCUAUCGCCGUCUGGUUUGCUUGAUUCAUCUGCUUCAUCUGUUGAUCGAACCAUCCGCUCUCUUGAUCUGUUCUCAGGGCACGUGGGUCCGUUCGGUGCCAGGUGCCAGUGGGUGAACUCCUCGAUCGUCUUGUUCUGUAAAUGUAAGCACUCCAUAUUCAGCACUGCUCGAUCUGUUAUUCAUUUCAAAUAAAUAAUACUAGUUAUUCGUAAUUUCAGAGUUGAUUGCAACCAUCCGUUGUCAUUCAAACUCAAUCUUUCCAUAUUUGUUUGGAUAAGACCGAUAUCUGUCAUCUUGGUUUCCAGUUAAACAAAAAAUUGUAUGUUGUCCCCAUGUCUGUUCUGUGCUGGUGUGGCUGAUUCAUGUGCUUCAUUUGUUGAUAUUAUAAAAGAUUUUUAUCCACAAGACCACAGGACAGUCAGAAAGAGCAGAUUUGUGCACCCGUAUUGUACUCAUUGAAAUAGUCACAGACACGUUGUGAAAAAACAUUGUUUGCUUGGGUGUGCUGGAGACACAAAAUAUAGAAUCAUGGUGUCCAGUGGACAAAAUCGAUGAAUGAAGUGUGCUAUGCACAAAUCUGCCUUGUGUUGCAGAUAAAACUAAAAUCCCUAUGUACACUAAAAAGAUUUACAGUGACCUAGGUGGGCAUGAAUUUCAACCGCCUCAGUUAAUGCCUGGCAUUAACCAAGGUGGUCAUUUUAUUAACCGAGGCAGUUACAAAAAUCACCUCGCAAAAUUUAUUAACCGAGGUAGAUAUACUAAUGUAACCAUCUCGAUAAAUCAUUAACCAAGGUGGACAUUUUAACUCCAACUGCCUUGGUAAAUCAGGACUAGCCCACCAGCCCAAGAGACCCAGUUCUGAAGUCACAUAGAUAUACAAGAGACUAGGGUUUCAGCCUCAGCCGCACUCCUCUCCCCAAGCGGAACUUCUCUCCCUCCCACCUCGCACAGUCGCACUGCUCUAUCACCUCACACAUACAAAACAACUCCUAAAGCGGCUAGAGAUGCUGGUUAUUGACAUAGUUAUGAUUAGAAAUAAAUAUAUAUUGUCAUAUUAAUGUAAAUAUUAAUUUAUAUUUUGAACUCCAUGAUCAUCAUAAAAUAAAUUAAUUUUAAAAUUCUAUAAAAACAAUAAAUGAAACUAAACAAAAAUAUAUAAUAUUAUUAUCAUUGUUUGUUACAUGUUAACAGUUUUUUCACCUGUUGUAACACAUGGGCAUAUUUGCUAGUAAUAGAUAAUGAGAACUUUUACUAGCAAAUAAACACCAAUAUUAGUUCAUCAAGAUUCAAAUAAAUUCGAGCGAGAAUGAUAAGAUAGAGCAUGAUUUAGGAAAAAAAUAAAGUAUUUUCAUAAUUUUUUGUGCUAAAACAAAUUUUCUACGAAUUUUAUAAGAUUUAUAAUUCCAUUUUUGGAAAAGUCACUUUUUAUUGUAGGAUUUAUAAAUAAUUUCAUUUUAUAAGUAAUUCCAUUUUAUAAGUAAUUCCAUUUUAUAAGUUUCUUUUUAUAAGAUUUAUAAUUUUGUUCCAAUAUUGUAGGAUUUAUAGUUCCAUUUUUUUCAUUCAAAAUAUCAGGAUAAAUUUUUGGAAAAGUUACUUUUUAUGAAUUUUGGUCAAUUUUAGAAAAUAAAUUUUAUCCUGAUACUUCGAUUUUAAUGAUAAGAUAUCCUGAUUUGUAAAUUUUAAUUAUGAAUCAUAAUUAAAGCUGUCCAGGGUGAGUUCAAAUGGUUUUGAAAAGUUGAGCGGCUCUAAGGCUAGUCUCAAUGCAUGUUUUAUGAUAGUGUCAUGCACAAUAAAUAGGGUGCCACAUAAGCUGUGUCUUGGUUACCUAUGAAACUCAUAUGGCUCGGUUAAAUGAAGGAGUUUCAUCAGAUGAGAGAAGAGUUCCAACCCCAUGAAAUUCAUAUGGCUCGGUUACCUAGUUUAUAAUCUUGGUAAAUGUGCCAUGAAACUAUGCAUUGAGACUGGAUAAAAAACAAAUUUUAUGGUUGAGAGGGGACCACAAAAGCCGACCUUUCUCGAACCUCCAAACACAGGACACACACCUACCGAUCAUGAAAUGCAUAAAAAAAAGCCUACAGGAAAAAAAACUGCCCUUGGAGCCAGGCCGCAUGCAGGUAGACGCAGCUAGUACAUUUGGGGUAGUUCAGGGACUUCCUCCAUCUCAAAUUAUAAGUCAUUUUUAAAAAAUUUGGAGAUUUAAAUCAUCCUAAGUUUAAUCAAAUUUAGAUGAUAAAAAAUAAUAUUUAUGAUACCAACUAAGUAUCAUUAGGUUUUUCAUUAAUUAUAUUUUCAUAGUAUAUCCACUUGAUCUCAUAAAUUUUUAUAAUUUUUUCUAUAAUUUUGAUGAAACUUGACAUGUUUUGACUCUCCAAAGUUCUUGCAAUGCCUUAUAAUUUAGGAUGGAGGGAGUAGUUUACAAAUAAAUAGCUAGAUGGAGCUUAGAAAUAAUAAUAAUAAAUAUUAUAAUAAGAGUUAUGUAAGCCAUGAGAGAAAGUUAUUUUUGGGAGAUCGUGGUAGACUAGCUAUUUAACUGUCAUUAGUUAUUUCUUCUGUCUCCUUGAUAGGUAAUAGAAUUCUUCGUGGACUAGUUAUGUGACGCCCUUAUACUUGAAAACCGUAUCCUCAUUGCUUCAAAAAUAACUUGCAAUAGUUGUAUUGAAAACCGAUAUCCAUCUAGUUAUGUAAGCUAUGAGAAAGUUAUUUUUGAAGCAACCCAUAACCUACGGUUUCUUGCAAUAGUUCUAUUGUAAAAAAAAUAUUGAGCGUGAUGCGAUCUAACUUUAUAGUCCACAAAUUUUGUAUUUGAUGAAGCUGUUCAGAGUAAAAGAAUUAGUCUGUCUGCCACUAGUCCACUACCAGCUCAGUUAACUAGGCGGCCAUGCGCAACAAUAAGGUCGCCUUGAGUUUCCCACACACCUCAUGUCUCCUAGCUCCCUUCUAUGUUUAAGCUGAUUCAUCAAGCUCAUCCGCCCCAAUCCAUCAAGCAGACAGUAGCCACGCCAAGCUUUCCGACCAUCUCAAACCUUACUUCCAGUUCCAUCCAGCCAUCGCUCAACAGGACCACAAGAUACCAAUUCGUCCUCGUUGAUAUGUACUAUUAUACAUAUAUCAAUCGCAAAUCUAACAAUUCGUCCUCUUGCUUUACUCCCAACAAGACCACAAGAGACCAAGGAACUGAAGGACACAGAGCACUCUGUGUUCCCGCUAAAAAUCAAGCUUUAUAAGGUGCAUACAUACUCCUCUUUCUUUCCUUCUUUGUUUCUCUGUAUUUUUGUUUCUUCCACGUACGGGCUGAGAUUGGUGUAGCUGCUCUCAAUUUUUAGGUGCCCCACUAUAUAAUAUGUAUAGUAACAUGCAUCGUCCAUGUAUCAGACUUCAUGAUAAUAUGAUAUUGACGUCUGAUACCCAUUAAUUUGUCAACUCCGUGCUUUUAGCUUCUGUUACUAUGUGCCAGAUCUGGAAUCCAAAAGUGGAUAGCCAACCAGAUCUGGUGUCAACCAACUGCUGCAGAGCUUCCUUUAAUUUGAAUAGUGCCAAGAUUAAUUACAGGGGGGCUCGAUUGACGAUUUUACCAUCAAGACUAAUUUUCAUUUAAACAAAUCACAUGACAUUUUUAUCUAUAUUGAUUUUGUAGAUACAGAACCUGCAAUGGCUGUGGUAUUGGAUGCUUUGGCAUCCUAUCUGCAAGAUAUGCUGGUGGAGAUGGUUGAAGAAGAGGUGCAUCUGCUCUUGGGUGUUCCCGAUGAGAUAGAAAAGAUGGGCAUCAAGCUCGGGGACCUCAAGAGGUUCCUUGCUGAUGCUGACAAGAGGAACAUUAGAGACGAGACUGUGCAGUCAUGGGUCAGAGAGCUUAGAAAUGCCAUGUAUGAUGCCACCAAUAUCCUUGAUUUGUGCCAGAUCAAUGCCAUGGAACGGGGUCCUACCAAGGAUAAGGGUUGCUUCAAUCCCUUGCUCUUUUGUAUAAGGAACCCUCUCCAUGCUCAUGACAUUGGUAAUCGCAUCAAAAGCCUUAAUAAGAGGCUAGAUGACAUUGAGAAGCGUAGCAAAGCCUUCAACUUCAACCUUGCAUCUUAUGAGGACAACACGAGAAUGGUAGAAUCCUCCCUUCGCACUAGGCGGGAGACGACGGGGGAGGAUGAGUUUGGUGUGGUUGGUGAGAAGAUUGAGGAGGACACUAGAAGUCUUGUGGAUUUGCUCAUAAAGAAGGAGAAAAAUGUACAUGAACACAAAAAUGUUAUGGUUUAUGCUAUUGUGGGAGUUGGAGGGAUUGGCAAAACCACCCUUGCCAAGAAGAUCUUUAAUCAUGACAUCAUCAAACAAGAGUAUGAAAAGAGAAUAUGGUUGAGUGUCAAUAAAGAAUUUAAUGACAUUGAUCUAUUAGAGAGAGCUAUCACUGAAGCACAAGGAGACCUUCAAGCAGCCAGAAACACAAAGGCCGCACUAGAGCGAACCCUUAAGGAAGCCUUGAAGGGGUGCAAGACCUUGUUGGUGAUGGAUGAUGUUUGGGACCCCCAUGUAUGGGAGAAGGUGCUCGAGCCUCCAUUGAUAAACUCACUUGCUCGAGGAAGCCGUGUUCUUGUAACAACGAGACAUGACAUGGUUGCUCGAGGCAUGAUGGCGGAGGUGCCAUACCACCAUGUCAAGAAAUUAGAGCAUGAAGAUGCCUGGUCUUUGCUGAAGAAGCAGGUCCGUACAAUGUCAAUUCAUGUGUCUUACGUGUUUUGUUUUGCAAGAAUGCAUUUUUACUUCUAAUAUGCAUAUCCUCCUGUUGCAGUAACUUCUAUGUCAUUAAUAAAUUUCUUUGCUAAUGUCUUACACCUUAUCUCGAAGAAAUCUUGGAUACUUUUUACAUGCACAAUGGCUAAUAGUAAUUUGCUAGAAGAUACUUAUAGUUUGAUGACAAGAGUUAAGUGGGGUGUUUUAGUGUUGGAAACAACUCAUGCACACUACUACAAAAAAAAAUUGCGAGGUGUUUUGGAAUUGGCCUCGGAGGCGAGCAACAAUUCAAACCGCCUCGGUUAAUGCCUAGGAUUAACUGAGGCGUACUUUUUUUAUUAACCGAGGCGGGCAUAUUAAAUUAACCGCAUCCAAAUAUCAUCUUUUUUCGGAGGCGGUUGGCUAAAGAUGUCCGCCUUCAAAAAGGCCAAGGCCCAAUAGGCCCAAACGAGUGCAAUACACAUCUUCUAAUACAAAUAUAAGAGAAUUAGGGUUUACUCUUCUAUCUCUAUCAGACACCGAGCAACACCGUUCCCCUCCCCUGCCCUUCGACACACCGAGCCCCAACGCCGCCCCUCCCUCUCUCUCCCUUCGAGACCUCCCUCUCCUUCUCCUCAUGAGCCCAACGCCGCCCCUCCUUUCCUCUCCCUCCGAGACCUCCCUCUCCCUCUCCUCGUGAGGACCAAGCCCAGCUCUGCCCCUCCCUUCCUCUCCUUCCAAGACCUCCCUCUCCCUCUCCUCCCGAGGACACGCGGCGGCGAGCUUCCUCCCACGACAUGUCUCCACCACCACCAUGGCAUGCAUGCGGCCAGAUCUGAUGGCGGCGCGACCGGGCAGGCCAGAGCCGCUGCAUACUGCUCUUCUUCUCCACCAUGGCGGCCAAAGAGGGUGCAUGUGGCGGUGGGUCACUGGAUCUAGCAGCAAGCGGUUGGAUCGGGCGACUGGCGGCCUGAUCUACCGACUGCGCGUGGUCUAGGCUCCUUCCUCUUCCCCAAUGGCGCCGGAGAGGCAGCUGGAGCUAGGGCGACGGACCGACAGUGGCAGCACGAGCUCUAGAUCCGUGCGGCCCAGAUCCGGGCCCGUGUGGGUUUUUUCUUUUUUUUUGUUUAUUUUAAUCCAUUAAUGGAGGCGGGCAAACAAACCGCCUCCUUUUAUCCUCCAUUUACCGCGACCUUCAAUUGGAGGCGUUUUGUGUGCCCGCCUUGCAAAAUCAAUUUUGCCCGCCUCGGUUAAGGAUUAUUGUAGUAGUGGCAAGGAAUCCUUUAGUCAGAGCUUGUUCAAAUUCCAACUAUUUCUUAGAAGUAGUAAAACCAAAGCAAUGGCUCUUCAGUUCAAGUAGCCUAGAAGAAAUGCCCCAAUGCUAAUGAUUAUUGCAUUUCAUCUAUUUUCACUAUUUCUGCACAUAAUGUGCAAAUCUACAAUAAGGUGAAUGCUCACCCUAGUUGGUAUUUUAUUUCAACAUUGAUUUUAUGAAUCAAGGAUCUCCAAAGUACUAUUAAAAUGUAACUUAUGAAAGUGCAGCACGCUUCAAUGAAAAAAUCUUAAAAAGAACCAGCACUACUAACAAGAAUAAACUUGACUACAUCAAGGAACGUGUAUAAUGUUUUUAUUUCCUUAAAUAAUACAUUGCAGAAAUGAGGUUAGUUAAUUAUGAUUUGGCAUAAGUGAUAACAUACUAAACAUUGUUAUAUUUAUACGUAUAUUAACAGAUGCUUCACUAACGAUGAAUUUGAGCUUUCUAAAGUUUUAGUAUAUAUACCCUCUAAAAUAUAAGAACUUCCAGCAUUUAAAUUUUGUCACAAAUAUAAUUACUCUGUCAGUCCAUCAGGCUCAACUCCACCCGCUAUGCAAUUUUCUAUUUAAAAAGAAAAAGUCUACUUAACACCCUACUCUUGGAAAUUGUCUAAUCCAGAGUCUCACCAAUAAACCAGUCACUACACUUUAAAUUAUUAUUAUUAUUAUUAUUAUUAUUAUUAUUAUUAUUAUUAUUAUUAUUAUUAUUAUUAUUAUUAUUAUUAUUAUUAUUAUAUAUAUAGGGAAAUUCGUUCAUAUCUAUAUAUAUAUAUAUAUAUAUAUACAUAUAAUAACAUGUCUAAAUAACCCUCAAAACAGAUUUGAAUGCAAUUUUGCUCACUUGCAUAUUACAUAUGUUCUGAUAUGCGUUGAGUCAAAAUAAAAACGGGGAAAAAGUCUAUGCAGCCCCCCCCUCCCUAAUAUAUCAACCCUUAAUAUUUUACGAAGUUUUGCCACCUCAACGUCAUCUAGCACCCAAGUAAUUUGGCACAUUAGUGAAGCAGCCAUUAAAGCAACCUUAGGGAUUACUUAGAUGGUUUUUAAUACUGUAAGGGGUAGAAUACCUGAUAUUACAUGUGAGAGAGUGAAGUAGACAACUAAAAAUAGUUAGGGGGGAUUGAAUAGACUUUUUCAAUACUAAAACCAACCAUUUAUGUCAUGGAAAUUUAGCCAACAACUGACAGAAUAGUCAAUGAAGAGUGGUUUAACAAGAGGCAGCAUGGUGGACUUUAGCAUUACAGUUCCAUUUUUCCUAAAUUUUUUUGGGAAGUCCUUAUAUUUUGGGAGGGGCUUGACUUUUUAAUUUUUCCAAUUUAGGAACAUAAAAAUAAAAUUAUGUAAAUUUUAUCUUCUCUCUAAUAGUACUUUACAAUGAUUUCCCAAUAAAUUAAAUCCAUAUCAGCUAUAACCAUAUAAAGAAUGUGGAAGAGACAACAAAAAAUAUAGAAAGUUUAGCUUCUGAUCAAGACCAAGUCAGUGCGCUUCAAGAUACAUGCAGAUGGGCCUGCUUGGUUGGGUGGCUAACCACCAAUCAAGCUUUAGAAAGCCACCUUUAGGCUGUUUGGUUGCUUGUUUGGAGUCCAAAGCCAGGAUCCAUUGAGCCACCAACCACCCUCUAGCUAGGCUCCAGAAAAAACACGGGGGGUGGUCUUUUUUGGGAGCCUAGAUUGGCUUAGCUUUGGUGGUGGUCUUUUUUGGGAGCCUAGAUUGGCUUAGCUUUGGUGGUUGUUCUCCUCAGCUCCCAUCUCAGCCAUGCUCAACUCUCUGAAUUCACCUAUGGCAAGCUCUGCAUCUUCCCCAACUCCAGCAGCCUACAUUUGCUCCUCCUCCAGUGGCCCACAUCUCUUCCGGUGCUCCUCCCAUAUGCAAACUUCGAAGGCAAGCCCCCGCGGCAGAAGCCCCAUGCGUUGCCGGGCCAGGUGGCGUGCCCGACAGCAAGAGUGGAGUCCUCCAGGCAGUGUCGCGGACGUACUCACCAUGCUCGGUAGUUCCUCCUCUAAGCGGUGAAGAAGUUCCCUCACUAGUGCAGCAUCAUUUGUGCCAGCUCCAUGCCCUCGUCCUCUACAGCUAGGCUCUGCUUCACCACCUCGAUGAUAUGCGUGUCGACGGGGUGGAGGCAGGAGUUGUUUGCCCCUGCCUUGAUGUUGAUCUUUGGAGCCGCAUCACCCUUCUUCUUGCGGGGGAAGUGCUGCAUUUGCAUGUUCAGGGAGAAGAGCCUCCAGCCAAGGAGACGCACAGUGCGACGGGAGCACGCACGUCCUCCUCUAAGCACAAUUGAAAUUUGGGCUUGCACGAAUGUGGAGGUGAUGGUCCAGUUUGAGGAGAUGGAGGCACCUCAUUGUCAACAAGGCUGCCGACUACAAGCAGAGUGUGCUUGUUGCCAUCACUGACAGGCGGUGCACGCACGGUUUCCGUGCCGCGAUGGUCUAUCCAAUUGGCCUGGUGGUCUCAAUCACCCUGCUUGUUGAGCAGCCACACAAUUGCCUGCAUUCCUGCGAAGCUCAAGACCUCGGAGCAGCGAGAGGGGUAGAUAGGAGUUGUGCGAGGUUCUCAGGGCCGACCUAGGCAAGGGCGCGACUGAGAUCCUCAUCAGUGAAGAGCAGAGCAGCUAGCACCACCAUGAUGGAGCUCACCACCUGUUCAAUAGAAUGCUUUGAAGGAGGUAACCUUACCGGGCUAAGAAUGUGGUGAUUCUACACAAGGCAAGGCAAGUAACCAAACAAACUCUUAUAGAAACUAGGCCAGGGAUAGGUCUAGCCAAACAAACCCAUGUGGGCUUGCUAGGGACAGGUCUAGCCUAACCAUGCUCCAAUCCUAGCCAUGCUCCAACUAAGGCGGGAAACCAAAUUAUAUAUUGUAGGGCAGGUCUAGCCUAGCCAUGCUCCAAUCCUAGCUAUUAGAUUGGAGAGAUUAUCUAUUGUGUUAUCUAGCACUCCCUCCAUUCCAAACUAUAAGUUAUUCAAACUUUUUUGAGUUAGAGCAUCUCAAAUUUCACCAAAACUAUUAAAAUAAUUACAAAAUAUUUGACAUCUAAUUGUGCUUAUUUUGUAUCCUAAUAAUUAUUAUUAAUAUUUUAUUAUAUAAAUUUAGUCAAACUUUAUAUAUUUUGACUCAUCAAAAAAAUUAGAAUAAUUUAUAUUUAAGAUGAAAGGAGAAUACGAUAUGGAUAUGGACUGAUGCACAGUUCUUGUGGCUAUGUUUAUCCCUACCCUUUGAUAUUACAAUAGAUGGGUCUACAACAGCCCUAAUUUCUUACCGAGCCCCGCAUGGGGACCGAUGAGAAUGUAUAUGUGAGCGAGACAACUCAUAGGCCCUGUUUGGUUGAGCUGUGACUUUUAGAAAAGCUGUUGUGAGCUGUGACUUUUAAAAAAGUAGUUGUGAGAAAGAAGCUAUGGUAAAAGCAAAAGACCAUUUUGUUGCGCAACUGCGACUUUUGGAAAAACUAUAGAAUGGACCCUACAUGUCAUCCCCACCUAACUCAAUCCCUCUCUGUUGGGAGUUCAACCACGCCUUUGCCCCGAGCUGCAUGAGAGAGAGAGGAAGUAAUUCAACCGCGAUGACCGAACCUUCAUACCACCAACCUUCGGACAUUGAGGGACGAAGGUUCCGAAAAAACUUAGCACUGAUGCAGAUCGGUUUAGUGACACAUGUGUGUAGGAACCGACUUCGAGCGGAGGAUCGCGGCGGGAAGGAGCCCAUCCUUUAGUUCUCGCGCGACGAAAGAUAUGUUGUCCUGAACAUGGGCGAGCCAAAGAAGCCUCGCGAGGCGGUCUAAGGUCCCUCGGUGGCUGCACGGCAGAGGAUCCAAAGGCCUCGGUGAAGCAUGCGCGAAGGUUCGGGCUGCAACAGGAACAGGGCUCCGACGGGCUGGCCUGUAAUGAGCCUGCAGUUUGAAUUUACCUAAGUAGCCCGAUAGGGUGUAGACUACGGUGGUGGAAUAUGCUAGAAUAUUCCCCCACCAUCAUGGGGUACUUUUGUAACGGAUUCCGGUCGGGAUCCGUGCCUUAUAAAAGGGGGUUGUAAAUGCUCUUUGAGGAGUUAGUUGAAACCAAUUUAUUGAUACACUGUCUGUUCUAGGGUUUCGAGCUUGACUAUUCUCAUACUCAAGCCUCUUGCAGCAACGAGCGAGCGGGCUCGACUAACCAUCGUGUUCGGAGGUGCACUAGCCACUUCCAACACUCUCUCACUGACGAGUGGCCCCACUCAUCAACGUCUUCCUCUUCCUUGUUCCACUUCGUGCACUGGGAGUCUAGAGCCCAUUGGCCUAGACCUCGCUUCCCUUGCUCCAUCGAGGAUGUAGGAAACAUGCCGCCAUAGGGAGCAGGAAGAGGACAUGCAUCAGGAGCUCCUAUGGCCACCACCACGCGUUAGAGGAAGAGGCUCAUGCUGGCCACCAAAGCUCACACGUGCCCAAGCAGAGGCCGGCCUGCGCCCGACACCGCACGUCGGAGGAAGAGGCUGCGCUGGCCGCUGGUGCUCCUGUGCAGUCGAGCUCGACCUAGGGUUGCGGGGCUGCAUGGGGGAGUUGGCUGGCCACGAACCUGAGGCGGGGGCUGUGGGCGCCGUCAGAGUGGGGCACCGGCAUGGUCUAGGCCAUGGAGGUGGCGGCGGAACCGGGCGCUUGCAAGGUAUCUGGGUGGCGCGGGUAGGAGUCACAGUGGAGAGAUGUCACCGACUAGAAAGAACGAGGAAAUAUCGAACCGGUAUGUUCAUAAUCAAUGGUAAGUGGGUAAUUCUUUAAACUAGAAGUAGUUGAGAGUAGGGGGUGAGGCUUUGUUUAGUUGAGGACGUGAAAAGGAUUUAUAUACUGUAGCACUUUCAUUUUUAUUGGACAACUAUUGUUUAAUCAUGGACUAACUAGGCUUAAAAGAUUCAUCUCGCAAAUUACAGGUAAACUAUGGAAUUAGUUAAUUUUUUAUAUAUAUUUAAUGUUUCAUGCAUGUGCCGCAAGAUUCGAUGUGACGAGAAAUCUUAAAAAGUUCAUUUCAUUUAAUUGGCUUUUGGCUUUUGUAAAAACAAAAGUAGCUAAUUGCUUUGUAGCGCUGUAAACAUGUGGUUUUUUUGCCCCAGCAUGCACAUGUGCAGGGAAAAUACAAAUCAUACAUAGGUCAUAUGCUCAAAAUAUUGUAUAGGAUUUUGCAUCCACGCAGAGUAUUGUUUAUAUUACUACCAGUUUUUUUCUUGUCUAUAAGUUUGUUUCAUUUAAUUGGCUUAGCUGCUUGUAGGUGAUCGGAAAUGGAAAUAAUGAUGAAAAAAAUGUUGACAGACUUAAGGAGAUUGGAAUGGAAAUUAUAGCAAAAUGUGAUGGUUUGCCACUUGCUGUUAAAGUAAUGGGAGGCCUCCUACGCCAGAAAAAUACGAGACAAAGAGACUGGGAAAAAAUCCUAAAUGAUUCUAUAUGGUCAGUGUCCCAAAUGCCUGAAGAGCUAAACUAUGCAGUAUACAUUAGCUACCAAGAUUUAAAUCCAAAUUUGAAGUCUUGCUUUCUGCACUAUGCCCUCCUCACCCAGAACACAGUGUUCUAUGAUGACAACAUUGUUGCCAUGUGGAUUAGUGAAGGAUUUGUUCAUGGAAACAGCACAUGUGAUUUAGAAGCACUAGGAAAAGACUACUAUGGUGAGUUAAUAGCUAGGAACCUUAUAGAGCCGGAUCAAUUGUACUUGGACCAGGCAGUCUGCAAUAUGCAUGAUGUUGUUCGCUCAUUUGCUCAAUAUGUAUCUAGAGAUGAAGCACUGGUAGCUCAGAAAAUUGAAGUUGGCCUAACCAAUAAACUUAAUUCGCAAAAUGUUACUCGGUUAUCACUGGAAUGCAAAGAAUCAGAAUCAAAUGAGCUAGAAUGGAGUUCUCUACAAGCAAAUAGAUCACUGCGAACAUUGAUUUUAGUUGGGAAGAUGAAGAUCAACCGAGGUGAUUCGUUGUUGUCUUUUCCAUGUUUGCGGACCCUACAUAUAGAAGAUGGAAAUUUUGAUGCUUUGUCUAAAUCUUUGGUCCAACUCAAACACUUGAGGUAUUUGUCCAUAAGAGGCAGUGACACAUCUAGGCUGCCAAAAAGAAUUGCCAUGAUGAAAUUCCUGCAGUGCAUUAAUAUUUCUUACUGUAAAAGUUUGGUGAAGCUUCCACGUGACAUUGGAGAGUUACGGCAGCUCAGGUAUUUAAGCCUUGUUGACUCAGGAAUAAAUAGUAUACCGAAGAGUUUCGGUGGUCUAACUAAUUUGAGGUUAUUGUUUGGGUUUCCUGCCCAUGUGGAGGGUGACUGGUGCAGUUUGGAAGAACUAGGACCCCUUAACAAGCUCAUGCGUCUUGAUAUAGAUGGUCUGGAGAAUGUAUCCUCUUCCGCAUUUGCUAUAAAGGCCAGGCUUCGUGAAAAGGUGCGCCUCAGCUAUCUGGUCUUAAAGGGCACCAGUACACGUCGAGGUCCUCACAGGCUGGUAAAAGAGGUAGAGCAGCAACAAAUCCAGAAGGUGUUUGAUGAGCUCUGCCCUCCACCCUGCUUAGAAACUCUGCUUAUUGAAGGGUACUUUAGCCAACAACUUCCAAAGUGGAUGAUGCCUACAAAAAUUUCGUCCCUUGGAAACUUGAGGAAUCUUGAGAUGGAAGACUUGCCUUAUUGCACGGAUCUACCUGAUGGCUUGUGGCAGCUCCCCAGCUUGGAGUUCCUAAAGAUUGAAAGCGCCCCAGGCAUCAAGCGUGUUGGGCCAGAGUUCGUACUACCAC